Molecule: long non-coding RNA, 3775 nt
Organism: Passer domesticus (house sparrow)
Lineage: Eukaryota; Metazoa; Chordata; Aves; Passeriformes; Passeridae
Exons: 3
Source: RefSeq, a predicted model, not a curated record
GUGAAGGAAAGGGGCUGACGGAGGAGACUGCGGAGUUCAAGUUCCAGCCCCCCUCCCCCCCAUGUACGAGGAAAGCGGGCGGAACCGCCCAGAUCGGGGCUCCUCGGGCGUCAGGAGGCGCGAGAAGCGACGGCUCGGGCUCCCCCAGCUGAGCGCGGCGGACGACCCUGCCCGCCGUGCGCUGAGGGGCGGGCGGAACGUGAGCCCCGCGGGCCGGGGGAGCUGCGCCCCGGCCCUUCCCCCCUCCUUUUCUUUCCCCUCUCCACUCGGGCGAGCCCCAUUUCCAUUUCCUCGAAGCGGCAGCCGAGGGCGCUGCUCGGGGCCGGGCGGGAGAGGGAGCGGCAGGAGCCAGCGCCGGUAGCGCCUUGUUCUCUGCAGCCAGGCCAGAGAGGGCUGCGCGCCCCGCGCCCCCCGCCCGGGCUCACCUCCUCGAUGGCCGCCACCGUGUUCCUGCACUGGGCCAUCCGGGUGGUGAAGUUGGAGGCGGAAUAAGAGCUAUCAGAGGAGGUGCUUUGUUCUUCAAUAUAAUACACAAGGAUCACUCAAGGCAAAAAGGGGUGAAACUCAGCCGGAGCUGUGGCGUUUGUGACUGAUGCAGCAGAAGGGACACUGGCAAAGUGUCGCUGAACGAGCAUGGUGUGGCUUGCAUUGGGAAUACAGGGAUGUGAUCCAUGGCAGGGGUUUCUUUUGGCCUCAAAGCCCUUAGGACUUCUAGCUGAUUCCUGCAGAAAGCUUCAGAAGCCUGUAUUUUGGCCCAGAAGCUCUCCUGUGGCUCUUUCACUCCCCUCUGGUGAUAGUUAUUAGCUUUCUAUAAGUGAUUCUUUAUUACUCUGUUUUAAAACUCUUCAGGGAAUUCAGAUGAGUAAGCAGGUACUCUUUUGCUGCCGUUUGUAAAAUGUCCAAAUAAAUAACUGUAAGCCUGCCCAGAUGUUACUGCCCUUUGCAACCCUUGCUAGAUCCUUUAGCAUAAAUAAUAAAGCUUGUCAGCCAUAUUUAUUUUCCUGGUUGUAGUAAAUCAGAUGAAUGAAUGCAGGGUCUAUCUCCAUGUUCUUUCAGUUUUUUAACUCUUAGUAGUUUUUCCAUCCUAAUCAUUCCUUAUUUUCUCCAAUGAAAGUCACCACUGUUGUUUUGCUUUUAACUUCAGUGCCGCUCUCCUUGUUAAUACUUAUGUGUGAUCAGUUAUUACAGCAUAUAAAGGUACAUAUUGUUCUGCUGCUAAUAGAUUAAAUUUCUUGUCUGUAUUUGUAUGUCACAUAAUAAAUAUAGUUGAGUAGAAAUAUUAAUUCUUGCUAAAAAUGUGUGAUCUUACAUUUUCAUUUUUGCAUUAGCUGAUGGUAGUACUUUUAAAGCAGCACUUAUCACACUAUUACCCAAACUUAGUAAACACUAGCAUUCUUAAACUGCCUACCAUAUCUUCCAGUGUAGCAUAUUUAUUUUGAUAUUUUGAAGGGGAUCUGAAAGGCAAAUACUCCUAGACUUUGACUUUCUGCAGCAGCUCUUCUAUCAGAUAUAGUGCAAAUCUGCAACAUAAUAAUUCAGCCUCUAGAGGUUGCAUCCACAGUUUGAUAUUGGAGUAUAUGCAACUGAGAUGGUGUCAUGGUUUAACUCCAGUCCAGUACAAAGCAACAAAAUAUCACACAGACACUCAUCACUGCUGCUCUGCCCAGUGGAAAGGAGAAGUAAAAAAUAAAGGAAAAACCAUGUGGGUUGAGCUAAGAACAGUUUAAUAAUGGAAACAAAAUAUUAUAAUAAUGAUUCUAAUAGUAAUUUUCUUGAGCAGAAGAGAGAGAAAGGACAAAAACUGAAGAUGAACAAGCAGUACACAGGGCAGUGCUCACCAGCUGCUGGCCAAUACCUGUGCCAUCACUGUGCAGUGGGUGAUGCCCCCAGCCAACCCCAGUUUAUUUGCUGAACAUAACAUUCAGUGGUCCAGAAUAUCCCCUUGGCUUGCUCAGAUCAGCUGUCCCAGUUAUGCUCUUUCCUGGCUUCUCGUGCACCUGCUUGCAGGCAGGGCAUGGGAAAAUGGAAAGUCCUUGAUUUAGAGUAAGCACUACUUGGCAACAACUAGAUUGGUGUGCUAUCAGCAUUAUUCUCAUACUAAAUUCCAAACACAGGAUUGUGCCACCUGUGAAGAAGGAGAUUAACUCUGUCCCAGCUGAAAACAGGACAGACAGUACCAUCAUGCAAUGAGUCUUUGAAUUCUACAGAUUCUAUUUUGUACAGCAGGUAUUGAAGUGGAAUGCCUUGAUAAUGAGACAGCUGUGAACAAAGCUUGCUUGUGCAGAAUGGGGUACUACUAUUUUGUAUUCCUGCUUGCUUCCUCACCACGGCUCCUCCUGUUCUGAUUUUGGACCCUCCCUCAAUAAAAUGUCACUACCUUCUUUGACCCAGUCACUCAGAGAUCUUCUACUAAAGAGAAAUAGAAAUAAAUACAAAUAUUUUCCAAAGAUUCAUGCUCUGCACAUUUCUGAAAAGUUUCUAAUCUACUAGAUACACACUGACUACAGCUCCAUUAGUCAGAAUACUUGAUUUAUACAAACAUUUCUCCCAACACUUACUUCAAAACAGCAUUAAUGGUUACAUCAGUCAGUGUUGUUAAAAACAUGUCAUCUUCAAAAUAGUAAGACAGAUUUAAAAAUAACUAAUUUUCUUAUGUUUUUGUUUAUUUGUACGGUUGGUUUUGAGCCUUUAGAAGUCUUAUCUGCAUGUCAAAAUCUUUAUUUGCAUCACUGCUAGUGAGAACUCAAACUGAGGACCAGGUGCUAUAGAAACAGAACAAUAAGGCAGCCUCUGGAGAUCCUGAUAUUUAAAAUUAGCUAAUAAAAGACAAUUUAGAGUUAAUAUAAGGAAAUACUGGACCAUUAUUAGUCUGUAUUAUAGUCCAUGAUCUUCACACACUGCUGCCCAAAUGUUUCUUUAGACAUUUUAAGUAGGAUUUUCAAGAAGGAUUAUGUGAUAGAUUGGUGUGUUUAAGGGGGAAUUAUUGCAAGAAUAAGGGUCAACAUGAAAGAAAGCACAAAAGACUUUGUGUCCUUGAAAUUUAACAUGUCAGAGUUGGAGGUAAAUGUCAUGGAUCAGAGGAAAAAUUAAUGUCUGUUUAAUGAGAGGACAUGCUAAUGGACUUUUGAAAAUAGCAGGGAAAGAACAUGAUGAUCUGGUUAGAAUAUGAUGAUCCCUCAAGCAUAGGGUGCCUAGGAUUGGACCCAAAAUGUAUAAAGUUUAUUUUUAGCCCACAGCAGUUGUGUCAUUAUUGCCCUCCACUAACCAGCUCCAUGACAGAUUGUUUCUGUUUGCUCUAUUUUUAUUUUAUGUCAAUGGUUUUUCACAGAAUUUCUUUCUUUAGAUAGUUUGGGGAAAUACUUUUUAUUUGCCUUCUUUGUGUGUACUCAGUACUUACAAUGAAUCUGAGGUAUAUUUGUUAAUUCUAUUAAGGGUGUUUUGAGGGAACACAACAAGAAGAUGGUUCAUAGAAAAUCUCAUUAGCGUCAUCACUUAUCUUUGAACUUUAAAAAUAAGCAUGCAAAUAAAUGUAGUCUGGCAGUUGCUAAUUACUGGGUGACAAUUCUCAGGCAGGUGGGUGUUAAACUCAGGAAAUUUCUAUAGUAUAUAGAAUUCAUAGCAGAUUAGUAAAACACUUUGUGGUGAGCCUUAUUAGUGGAUUCUGUCAUUUCAUCCCAAUUCUUACAUUCUUUCCAUGAAGUAUCAAUCCCUGACGUUGAUUGCUCAGAAACACUUUCAAAACAGGUUCCACUUUUGAAUAUUUGUUACCACAGUU